This 597-nucleotide ribosomal RNA is filed under the name uncultured Alphaproteobacteria bacterium. RNAcentral describes it as "bacterial SSU rRNA". It matches the Rfam family "Bacterial small subunit ribosomal RNA", at positions 329 to 915 of the family's 1533-position model. The record is from RNAcentral. Lineage: Bacteria; Pseudomonadati; Pseudomonadota; Alphaproteobacteria.
AGAGUCACUCCUACGGGAGGCAGCAGUGGGGAAUUGUUCGCAAUGGGCGCAAGGCUGACGCAGCGACGCCGCGUGUGGGAUGAAGGCCUUCGGGUUGUAAACCACUGUCGGGGGGGGCGAAUACUCGGCUUCGAACAGGAGACCGAGGGUGACGGUACCUCCAAAGGAAGCACCGGCUAACUCCGUGCCAGCAGCCGCGGUAAUACGGAGGGUGCUAGCGUUGCUCGGAAUGACUGGGCGUAAAGGGCGCGUAGGCGGAUGAUACAGUCAGGCGUGAAAUUCCUGGGCUCAACCUGGGGGCUGCGUUUGAUACGUGUGAUCUGGAGUUCGGAAGAGGGUCGUGGAAUUCCCAGUGUAGAGGUGAAAUGCGUAGAUAUCUGGAGGAACACCGGUGGCGAAGGCGGCAUCCUGGACUACUACUGACGCUGAGUGAGCGAAAGCCAGGGGAGCAAACGGGAUUAGAUACCCCGGUAGUCCUGGCCCUAAACGAUGAAUGCUUGGUGUGACGGGUAUCGAUCCCUGUCGUGCCGAAGCUAACGCAUUAAGCAUUCCGCCUGGGGAGUACGGUCGCAAGGCUGAAACUUAAAGGAAUUGACG